Molecule: long non-coding RNA, 315 nt
Filed under: Daucus carota (carrot)
Lineage: Eukaryota; Viridiplantae; Streptophyta; Magnoliopsida; Apiales; Apiaceae
Description: long non-coding RNA (DCAR_LNC002580)
Source: RNAcentral
UUUCUUUGUUAGUCAGUGCAAUCCUCUCAAAAGGAUGAACACGAUGAAACACGAAAGCCAUGAGCAUGAAUUGAAGUUGAUAGAGGAGGUGGAUAUUAGUAUGGCAGGGAAAGGUAAGUGUGGAAUGUGUGAUUUGCCUCUUGCUGGAGGCUUUGAUCCCAUCUACACUUGCCUUGAAGAGGAUGGCCCUCUCCAUUUCUUCCUUCACAAAAAGUGUGCAGAAUUACCGACGCAAAUCACACACCUUAACCACCCACAACAUCCGCUCACCCUUGGCCGUCACUUCAAUAACACUCUCCCAAACUAUCCUGUUCC